Exaiptasia diaphana is the source of this 279-nucleotide long non-coding RNA. RefSeq lists it as uncharacterized. NCBI's taxonomy places the organism in Eukaryota, Metazoa, Cnidaria, Anthozoa, Actiniaria, Aiptasiidae. The transcript has 4 exons. The record is from RefSeq and is a predicted model, not a curated record.
CCGCUUUAAGUAGUCUACUCUGCAAAGCAACGUAGAAAUUUCUCUGUUUGUUAUUAACACUAGAAAACUGUAAAAAAAAAGCUCAAAAUGACGACAUACUCAGGUAAAGGCGAAAAGCCAACUGUUGGACGGAUGUUAGCGUUUGAUCACAUCACACUUUGGGUUGGAAAUGCUAAACAGGCAGCCUCAUAUUAUUGCACUCGAAUGGGUUUUGAGCCCAUGGCAUACAAAGGAUUAGAAACAGGCUCCAGAGAAGAAGUAGCUCAUGCUGUGAAACAG